GGUGCUUGACUGCCGAUGAGACCAGGACGCUCGGAUCAACCCUACUCCUCCGCCUGAGCGUCCAGUGCGAGCUCUGAAUUUCAGAACUGACAAUCUGACAACGCUCUGAACGCCCAGAGCGCUCUCUGGCACUCCAAAGUUUAUUUACAAACGCACCCUGUAUGUUGAGCGGAAACGCUGUCGGUGGAGGGUUUCCACUAGUUACCACAGCCUUAAAGUCAAAAUUGGCUAUAUUUUCAAAAUUCAGAACUAAAAUAUGCUUAAUUUAAGGUUAGAAUUAGGCAUACAUUUAGCAGUGUGGUUAAGGUUAGGUUUAAAAUCUGAUUUUAAGAAAAUAAAUGGUAGAAUAGGAGAAUAGGCGGGGUUUAUGACUUUGUGGCUGUGUGACGACCGUGAGGAGGCUACUAAAGAAAAUGCUAUUGUUGUCGUCUGUCAGCUAGACGAUAACUGGCAUAGAUACUUAGCUAGCUGAAAUUAAUUAUCAAUUAGUAUUUUAUAUAUUGACAACGCCACAUAUUACAUGUUAAAAUGAAAAAAGGAGGAAUGCUCCGUUGGGCCUAACUGCUCUGACCUGAGGGAGCUGAGUCUGCUCCCCCCCUUUGAUCCCUGACUCUUGACCCCUGGACGGUGUAACCAUGACGACGGGGGAUUGUUGCCACCUCCCGGGCUCCCUGUGUGACUGCACUGGCAACGCUGGCCUGUCCAAAAGUGUGGAGGAGUCGGAUAACUGCAGAGCGCAGUAUGUCACCCAGGUCACAGCCAAAGAUGGGCGGCUGCUCUCCACCAUCAUCAAACCUUUGAGCACACAGAGCGAUGGGCCAAUCUGCCGGAUCUGCCACGAGGGGGCCAACGGCGAAGGGCUUCUGUCCCCCUGCAACUGCACAGGGACUCUGGGCACGGUGCACAAGAGCUGCCUGGAGAAGUGGCUCUCCUCCUCCAACACCAGCUACUGUGAGCUGUGCCACACAGAGUUCACCAUUGAGCGCAGGCCCAAGCCCCUCACAGAGGUAACAAAGUGGCUGCGGGACCCGGGCCCUCGUAACGAGAAGCGCACAUUGUUCUGUGACAUGGUGUGUUUCCUAUUAAUCACGCCCCUGGCAGCCAUCUCUGGCUGGCUGUGUCUGAGGGGAGCCCAAGAUCACCUGCACUUCAACAGCAGACUGGAGGCCUUGGGCCUCAUCGCCCUCACCAUUGCCCUUUUCACAAUCUACGUCCUCUGGACUCUGGUAUCAUUCCGCUACCACUGUCAGCUCUACUCUGAGUGGAGACGAACCCAUCAGAAAGUACGCCUCCUCCUUCCAGACGCAAAGGGGCGGCAUUCUAACCAGCAUUCCUUGCUCUCCACCAAGCUGCUGAAAAAGACGGCAGACGAGACUAUAGUAUGAGGUCAAAGGUGGGAAGAUUUGAAGUUGGUGUUCUUCGGGUGCUGGAGGUUCUCAAUGAAAAAGCACGUCUCCAACCAGAGCCCAAGCUCUUUUUCUAUUUAAAUCCUUUUUACCUAUGUGUGUCAUCAUCGUCAGCACUUCUUUUUUAUUUUUGUCGUCUGAGCCUCUGAUCGUGUUUUUUUGUGAUCUGGUAAAGAAACCAGUAUGUUAGAGACCAGUGAUUACCUUGCAGUAUGGUGUUUCUGAAGGUUUGGAAAAGGGCAGUUGAUUGGAUGGUUCUCCGCUGUGCCCUGCAAAGGGACGACCUAGGAUUCAUUGGACAGAUGCUCAGUGGAGAUGGCUGCUGAAGCUUUAAGACCAAACCCUCUAGUGUUUAAGUGGACAAUUCCCACUUUUCUCCUCCCUAAUUUCCUUCACAGCGUCUCUAAAAGUGUAGCAUGGAUCGUUGACGCUGAUCUACGGCGAUCCAUCCACCGGUUGGUUCCCUAACCACUGAGUGUAGAAGUAAGAAGCUUAAAGCUUUGAUUCCUGUUUACCAGCCACAGGCUAUUAGACUGGGGGGAUUAUAGAUGCUUAUGACAUUGCUACGCAAGCCAGUUGACUCCCUUCAAUUCAGCUCCAUCUGUUUUCCCCCUUGGUGUGAGCAGGAAUUUUGUUCAUAAAGAUGGAGAUUGUGCAAUAAAACACUGGACACGGUUUCCUCUCACAGUACGUGAUGAGACUGCUACCAACAUGCACAGUUUUGCAUGCAUGUACUGUUACUUUUUUAUUUUUGGUAUUGUUUUUUUUUUGGGGGGGGGGGGUUACUGUGGAGGAUUGUACGAGAGGUUGGUUGAGCUCCCAUACAUCUGGUGUUACUAGUUAGUAUGUUGAACUGGGUUUCCCCCCUAGAGUAUAGAGGUCUCUCAUACUAUUAGCACCAAAUAGAGUGAGCUGAUCUAGGUAGGUAGGUAGGUCUACACGCCACUGAUGAGAGAAAAAGAAACUUUACGGAAAUGUAUAUUCCACCAACAUGAAGUUAAAAACUUUUUGUGGUUGACGGAAAGUAAGUCUUACCUUUCCAGGACAAUGUUAGAGUAGCGCAGGUCAAGAUCACUCUUCAAUAGCUAGUACAUUGCUCUCCUACGACGAUAGACCAAUGAAAUGCUUUGAAAUAUUAUGUGUUUUUUUGUGUAGUCAUAACAUUUGCUAGUAAUCACAUGCAGCAAGAGCGUAGAUUGGUUAAUUGAUGUUACUUCAUGUUUUGUAGCAGUUGUAUUCCCUUUCUGAUAUGCAGGCGACCAGACUGACGUCUAGUCUCAGACGUCUACAGAUCUCAACUGUACCUUGACAGUAGAACCCAGUGUGUGGAGCAAGACCAGUGUGCAGGUUCAACUCUUCCAGUACCUGUAGGCUUCAUGCAUUGGUUUGACUGAGGGUUUAACACCUGAAGGGCUUUGCAGUGGGACAGCUAAGCUGUGUAAGUGUUAUGCAGCUGUGAGAAUCCUGGUUAUGAGAGUGACUUUCUGGAAUCAGUUUCAACCUGAAAAAUUGUGAUCUCCAGUCACAGUAAACGAAAUAGGAAGUCAUCCUCUCAACUUGAACAGCAUAGACAGACAGUCAGCCUAGUUCAGUGGUGUCCUGUUGGGAGACCCCUUUAAAAAAAAWAAAGUACCCUCCUCUUUUUUGUUGUUGUAAAGUGUUGAUUUGACCUCUAAAGGAAUCCUCUUGUCUGGAAAAUAUAUUUGAUGUUAAAUAAUACUAGAGCUUAGUAGGAGGUUAUUUUCCUGUAUGUCAAUGUGUGUUGUGGAGUGGAACAGCUUUCAGGAUCUUUCAGCAUGGAGAGAGUUCUUAUCUGCAUUGUCAGUGAUGGGCCACUGCCCUAUCACAUGCUGUCUCUGAUUGGUGCUUUUUGCCUCUACCUGACAUGUUGGGAGCUAUGGAGACUUUGCAAUGUAGGGUGUAGUUACAGCAGUGUGCAAUUUGAUAACUUUACAAUGCAAUUCUUACCUAUAACCUUAACAAUACAUAAUGAAAUCAGAAAUAUAAUGUAGAAGCUAGUGCAUAUGAAGGAUCAUAGCAGUUUGCUCACUUGUGCAAUCUGAGAGGGCCACGAUAGGAUGUUUUCUUUUGCUAUGUGAGUCUGUGAGUUGCCAACAAUAUGCAACACUGCUCCCUUUGAAGGCAGCUCAGAGACAUACUUGCCACAUUACUCCAGCUUUUAUAUAACCGUUAACUCAAACAGGUCCUUUUCUCCAAAGAUGCAUUGAUUCUUGUUUUAUAUAUCAAAUGACACUUUCACAAAACUAUCAUGGAAAUCAAUACAGUUUGGUUGUUUCUAUAGUCUUCUAACACCGACUUUGAAAGGGAUUUAAAAGCAUUGCUGAUAUAGUACAAUUUUCCAAUAUCUGGUGUUUGGGUAUUGCUCCUCAGAUUUUCUUUUUGGUUUGAAGACGCAACAAAGAUUCCUUGGCAUUCUCAUGCUUGUAUGUAGAAGGAGCAACAUACCAGAUUUGUAGACUUGUUUUUGUUUGAUAAUGUUUUAAUCUCUUGUUAAUUCUGCCACUGUUUUUAACAUAAUGAUGUGUAUCAGUUGUAAUUUAUGUUCAAUUAUUCAUUAAGCACAGGGUUUUUAUCACUCUUAGAGAUGGAAUCCGCAGAAGCUGAGGAGCGUCACACAGCAUGGUAAAACAAAUUAUGCUCUUCUAUCGCAGGUGCAAUGAUGUCUGUUGGUGGGAAAACAGUGUUCGUUUUUUGUUGUUGUAAUAUCGCAAACGGACGUGGCAGUUCCACCAUUAAGGAUUCCAGCUUUAACUAUAAUGUUUAUGUUGUGCAGUGGAAAAAGAAAGAUGUCUAAACCCAAAAUAUGUUGGUGCUUGCAAUCAGCCAAGAAACUGCAAAGCAAAUAAAAAAUGGAAGCUACAGUAUGGAUAAACAUCAA
Salvelinus sp. IW2-2015 is the source of this 4305-nucleotide RNA transcript. It is a transcript of the gene named E3 ubiquitin-protein ligase MARCHF2, with no coding region annotated. NCBI's taxonomy places the organism in Eukaryota, Metazoa, Chordata, Actinopteri, Salmoniformes, Salmonidae. The record is from RefSeq and is a predicted model, not a curated record.